RNAcentral lists this ribosomal RNA (200 nucleotides) under uncultured bacterium. Its description in RNAcentral is "partial 16S ribosomal RNA". It matches the Rfam family "Bacterial small subunit ribosomal RNA", at positions 30 to 242 of the family's 1533-position model. The record is from RNAcentral.
AUUGAACGCUGGCGGCAGGCCUAACACAUGCAAGUCGAGCGGGGUUUCCGGACCUAGCGGCGGACGGGUGAGUAAUGCGUAGGAAGCUGCCCGAUAGAGGGGGAUACCAGUUGGAAACGACUGUUAAUACCGCAUAAUGUCUACGGACCAAAGUGUGGGACCUUCGGGCCACAUGCUAUCGGAUGCGCCUACGUGGGAUU